Molecule: long non-coding RNA, 427 nt
Filed under: Cyanistes caeruleus (blue tit)
Lineage: Eukaryota; Metazoa; Chordata; Aves; Passeriformes; Paridae
Description: lncRNA (ENSCCEG00000000504.1)
Source: RNAcentral
UGGACAGCCCAGCUGCACCCAGGUGACAGUCUGGGCCCCUGGGAUGCCCUGCCAGGCAGCCUGGGCCUGCUGGGAAGCACUGCUUCCACCUGUUAGUGCUCCAGGGCUUUAAAGAAGAUUAUUUGCACAGUCAGAGAUGGAGCUACACCCUCAGGAAUCACUUCACCCCUGAGCCUGAGUGUGUCUGAGGAGAGUGCAGGAGGAGCUGAGAAGUGCAGGGGGAAGAGUCAGUUCUGCUCAGUGCCCAGAAUCCUGGACUUCCCCUUAAGCCAGUUUUGACUACAAAUUGUUCUGUGUCAAGAACCAAACACCAUGCCAAGAGCUCUGAAAGUUGCUGUUAGCUGGCUGAGAUGAAUAUCUGGAGUGCAUUAUCUUAGGUGCAGAGUCUGUUUUGUAUACACAGUAAAAGCAACUCAUCUCCCUGUUU